Long non-coding RNA from Amphiprion ocellaris (clown anemonefish), 2087 nucleotides. The record is from Ensembl. Lineage: Eukaryota; Metazoa; Chordata; Actinopteri; Pomacentridae.
GCUUGAAAAAGUAGUCACCAAUGAGCGGGAACUUUAUGCAACCUGAAACAGUUUAAUUCCUGCAGUGGAAACACGGCUUUAGCUGGACAGCAGCCGCCGUAGCCUUGACUAGACAGGAUAUGAUGUUUUCACAUCAUAGCUGAGUCAGAUCCAGUGAUCAGUUUUUCUGAAAGAUAUAUUUCUGUUUAUCUUUGAAAACCCCAGAGGGUCUUUUAUCAACUGCUGAAAAUGACAUAUCUCAUUGCUUUUUUGUAAAACAGAAAAUCUGAACAUGAAAAUAUAGAAUAAUGAAAGGCACAAACUGAGGAAAGAUGAAUUCUAAAAUGCAAUGUAACCAUAGCUCUUAGACAGGAAGAUUAUCUGUUACACAGCAGUGUCUCUCCAGUGCUAACCAAUGCUAACAUUAGCCACCCUAAGUUACUGUUCAUACCAGAACAAGGAGGGCUUCAACAGUAAAACUACUGAGUACUAAACUGAGCGAAGAUGUGUUUUCUUGCUCAAGAAUUGAAGUUUUUGUUUGUAUGAGUUAAUGUCGUUUCUUUGUUCUAAACUUACUUGUUCGAAUGACCACUGACUGUUGAUUUUUCAGUGUGUGCUGCUUUGCAGACAGCUGUAAUGUUUAUUUCAGUAUGCUGUGAAAAUCAGCUGGCAGAGACUUGAAACAGUGCUGUCACUUCAAAUCUGAACAUGGUUGUAUCUUCAGUGUAAUGCCUCAUCUGGACUUCUGCUUUCUUCCUUAGAGUUAGCUGAGAUGUUCGAUACCACACUCAUAUAGGUACCUUCAUUAUGAUGCUAGCAAGUUGUGAGCCUAGCUUAGCAUAUAGACUGCACUGCAAGCCUGGCCUUUCCAGAGUUGAUCUGGAUCAUUUGUAAAGCUCACUAAGAACCCAGUGGAGUCUACUGGUUGCAGACUGUUUGGAGGCUCUGGGCUAAGCUAAGCUAAGCUAAACAACCUACCAGUGGUGUCAUUUUUAGCAUACAGAUAUGAGGGUGGUUUCAUCAAAUCUCUGCAAGAAGAGAGCAUGCAUACUAUUAAAUUACAAAGGAUGUGACUUGUAGCAAAUGGGCUGAAAUGUACAGAACCAAACAAAAAGCAGUGGUGUCAUCCUUUAAGUGUCUGACAUGAGAUCUUCUUCUCCUAGCAGCCCUGCUUGAAGGCACUUGAUGUGAAGUCUGUAUCCGAUAAAUUCAGCCUCACUUCCUCGUUUACUUGAUCCUGUAUUUAAAUGAACACUGAGCACAUUUAUCCUGUGACAGAACGUCUCAUUAACUGCUCUGGUGUAACAUAUAAACCCCCCUGUGCUCCCCCAGAAGGCUGUUUACUGAUUGUGGAUGUUCUGCUGCUGUUCCCAUCAUCCCUGUAAAUACUGUUGUUGCUGCAUUUCCCUAAUUAGCAGAUCUCAUCCCUCUGCAUUUACAUUUAUUAUUACUAAUAUUUUUGACAGCUUAGCAUGAGCAAGCACCAACAGAAGCUACUUAGACAUUUAAUUCCCUAAAUCCAGCAGUUGAGGAGAGUACAAGCUGUAACACUUUAUGCCAAUGUGUGGUCAUUGGGCGUGUUCAUGUUUUGGUGGACGAGGAUGAAGGCAUGUGUGUGUUCAUGUAUGUUUUGCCUCUGUUGCUCCGAUAAUGGAAUCAAUUAUGUGAUUAUUUUUUUAAAAAUCACUAGAUUAAAGCAACAUGAGGGAUUAUUUAUGGCAUUUUGAUGAUAUUUAGGGCUUAGGACACUUUGCCGUAGCAUUUCUGUUUGUGCCAGAAGAAAGAUGUGUUGAAGAAAACGAACUGAAAGCACCUUUGUAAAAAAUAAAAUAAAAUAAAACACACAAUGCCAAAUACUACUUUUCUUUUUGCUAUUUUAGGGUAAACAUCCUCCACACGUCGACAUUCACUGUGUGGAAAGUUAUUCCUUGUUUUCCUCUUUGUUUUCUCGUUAGGCCUGGGUGGGACUCAGGAGUCUAAAGGCUGGUACUCUCAGAUCAGUGAGCACUACUCUGUGGAUACAGUGAAUGUGUAGAAAGCCUUGUAGUAUUGCAUUGUAUGUAAUGUAUAUAAUGAAUAAAGAUUGUAUUUUGUUCAAGUUUUCUUAA